CGCUCAAAGAGCUACACGUUGCCAAGUCAUGAUUUCUAUAGGAACUGAGCAAGUGUCCUCAGCUGAUUCUUCCCUUUCAGAGGGCUCUGAAGAAGAGCACGGACAAUGGCUUAAGAGCUGUAUCUGAUUUCCACCUUCCGUGACAGGAGCCCCUGUGCUGGAGGAGCCAGGGCAGAAGGGACAGGGCCCGUCCACCCAGCCAUCUCAGGGAAGGAGGAGGGCGCCAGGCCCCGCGCUGCCGCGAGGGUUCAAGUUCAAUGUCUGCACAGCCCUGCCUGCCCCAGCCCCCAGACCUGCGUCCUGGGCGAGUCUCCUGCCCUGUGGGUGCCUUGGCUUCCUCUCACAGGGGACGGGGAAUAGGCGGGGCAGCGCUCAGCAAAGGCUAACGGUGAAGAGGACUGGAGGAAUAAGGGGGAGACUGACAUGAUGAGGAGAGAUGGCAGUGACAGAGCGCUGAAGGAGAAGGGGCGGGCAGUCCAGAAGGUGACAAGGGAGACGUGCCCUGGGGCUCCCACUCGACUGUGACCUGUCCUCAUGUGCGGCAGUGGCCCAUCCUGCGUCCUCUUCACCCCCAUGUCCAGCAUCUUCUUGCCAGCCCAGCCAGACGGGAGCUGGUAUUGCAGAUUGGAGCCUCGGUGCAAAUCUGGGCAGUGAAUGAAUGGGCUACUCUCCCCUCGGAGUGUAAGCCGGAGUGGGGACGACGAAGACCCGGCGACCCCAUGCAGACCCAUUUUCCAGAUGAGGCAGAGAGGGUCUUCCUACGUUGUUCAGGCUGGCCUUGAACUUGUGGAAAUCCUCCUGUCUCGGCCUCUUGAGUACUGGGAUUACAGGCAUGUGCCACCAUGCCUGGCUGAAACACCAUUUAUUGAUCAUUCACUUUAAAAAAACACACCGGUGAAAACAGGACACUUUGAGCCUCACUAUCCCCUGCAGGACAGAAAGAUGCCCUGGCUUCCUCAUCACUCUAUGGCUGCAUGUUUAUAGCCAUUAAGUUGUGAGCUUCUUGUUGAUGAAUCUUCUGGCCAGUUUCCUUUCCCUUGUCAGAGGUGACAAAACAUGCAGACAGAGUGAUGAGGAAGCCAGGGCACUGACAAACGCCUAUGCCUGGCCGACACCACUGUCCUUACACCUUGAAGUUACCUUUGGGACUGAUUAUGUUCUUUCACCAGAGCUCUGUGUAUCCCACGGCACAAACUCUAAAACCCAUGUGCAGUUUCUGAGUUCCAGUAUAAAAGUCUGUUUCAGGACCAGCUCAGUUGCUUUAGUGUUUAUACCUCUGCCUUGUCCCUUGUCCACUGGGUGUCACACGCUGGACAGGCUGGUCAGGUAGUGGCACAAAGCAGG
This 1344-nucleotide long non-coding RNA is filed under the name Heterocephalus glaber (naked mole-rat). Its description in RNAcentral is "lncRNA (ENSHGLG00100046935.1)". The record is from RNAcentral. Lineage: Eukaryota; Metazoa; Chordata; Mammalia; Rodentia; Bathyergidae.